Molecule: ribosomal RNA, 325 nt
Filed under: uncultured bacterium
Lineage: Bacteria
Description: bacterial SSU rRNA
Rfam family: Bacterial small subunit ribosomal RNA
Source: RNAcentral
GAUGAACGCUGGCGGCGUGCCUAACACAUGCAAGUCGAGCGAAGCGCCUUACUUGAUUUCUUCGGGAUGAAAGUAUUGUGACUGAGCGGCGGACGGGUGAGUAACGCGUGGAUAACCUGCCUCAUACAGGGGGAUAACAGUUAGAAAUGACUGCUAAUACCGCAUAAGACCACAGGACCGCAUGGUCAAGGGGUCAAAGAUUUGAUCGGUGAUAGAUGGGCUCGCGUCUGAUUAGCUGGUUGGUGAGGUAACGGCCCACCAAGGCGACGAUCAGUAGCCGACCUGAGAGGGUGAUCGGCCACAUUGGAACUGAGAAACGGUCCAA